ACCAUUGAGCCACAUUCCUAGUCCUUUUUAUUUUGAGACAGGGUCUCACUAAGUUGCUGAGGCCAGCUUUGAGCUUGUGGUCCUCCUACCUCAGCCUCCCAAGCCAUUGAGAUUAUUGGCAUGUGCCACCACACCCAGCUUACAUUCAUUCUUUUACUUAGCCUCAUAACAAUCCUAUGUGAUAGAUACUACUAGUAUUAUUUCGGAGUCAGUGCAAUUGAGGUUCAGAGUGGCUGAAUGAUUUCUCUAGAGCUACAAAGUUAGCAAGGGACAGAGCUGGGAUUUUGUACCCAGUGUUAGUAUAACUAACACUCUAUUGUCUCUAAUUUCAAAACAUACUUCUCUCCACUUACCGUUACGACAUGAACAUUUUCUGAGUUUCUACAUAGCCUUGAAAUAUUUUCAAUUAUUUCAUCAUGCCAAAUCAACAUAAUUUACUUAACCACUUCCUGCUUAACACUUCCAUUUCCCACUUCAUCAGGGAAAUGAAAAAUGUUGGUCAUACAGCCUUUUGCUUCUGCAGAAUUAUUUCCUCAGGAGUUUGUCCCUAUUUUUCCUUGAGUAAUGGCAAUGUGAUAGAAUGGAGCAGGCCAGAGACUAAAAGUUAAAAGCCCUUAGGUUCCAGUCUCUAUUGACAAAGUCAUUUAUCGUCAGUUCUCUCACCAGUCAAAUGAGGAGAUUGGUUUAUAUAGCUGGAUAUCUUGAGUUUGCCAAAUUGUGUCUUCUUAUUUCUGUAUAUAUUCAGGUCAAAGUAGAGAAGACCUUCCCAAAAGCAAGAAUUCUUACAGUAUUUUCCCUUUGCUUAUUUACUUUUGGCCUAGAUAUAUAAAGAAAUGGAAAAGACCUCCCUUUGCUCCCCCGCCCAGAUGUAUCACUUUUAUUUCAAUUUGUAAUUUCAAUUAACAUCAGAUUUAUGUUUUUUCAGAUAGAGUUCUAGCUCAUCAGGCACAGUGUCAUAUGCCUGUAAUCCCAGCAACUUGGGAGACUGAGGCAGGAGAAUCACAAGUUCAAGGCCAGCCUCAGCAACUUAGCAGGGAUAUGUCUCAAAAAAAAAAAAAAAAGAAGAAGA
RNAcentral lists this long non-coding RNA (1069 nucleotides) under Marmota monax (woodchuck). Lineage: Eukaryota; Metazoa; Chordata; Mammalia; Rodentia; Sciuridae. The record is from RNAcentral.